Molecule: long non-coding RNA, 770 nt
Organism: Rhagoletis pomonella (apple maggot)
Lineage: Eukaryota; Metazoa; Arthropoda; Insecta; Diptera; Tephritidae
Exons: 2
Source: RefSeq, a predicted model, not a curated record
ACACCCAGAGGUUAUCAACUGCAAAUGCUUGUCUGCACGUAUUGCACUGUUUGCAAAAAUCUGCAUUAUUAGUAGGUAUAAAAUCUUUUACGUGAGGCCUUGGAAAUCAAGAGUUUUACGAAGGCAUUAGUUCAUUUUUUUGGCCACAGAUGGCCUAUUGGCUGUCGCAUAAGAUGGAAGAGAGUUGGUGAUUGAAACUGAUUUUCGUGUAAAAAUUUCAAUAGACUCUCUUCGCCUAUCUAGUGGAUUCCUAUACACCCAGGAUUCUUGCUCUAGGAAAUCUUAGUUUGGCUCAACUUACGACUUCUUCACCUUCUGUUUUUGGGAAACCAUAAUCAUCAUGAUGCUUUUCCGGGUCUGAUGUUUCCGUUUGCCAAAAACUUGUACUCGCCAGAGCUUCUUCAGGUGUGUAAUCAGUUCUUUUCUACGAAAUCAAAGAGCUGCGGAGGAAAGCUCAGAUAAGGGGAACUUGACUUAUCCUAAUACAUAUAUAUACAUUCGAUUUAUUCUUAGCCUUUUAGUUUCAUUAUUCUACUCAAUAUACCUACAUACAUAUGUCAGUCUAAUGCUGCCGAAGUAAGUUACUAUGGAACUCAGCCAAUUUGCACUGAUCAGUUAUUGGAAAAAGAUUGUCAGAAGGAAACAUGGCUGUGUUUUAAAUAUGAUACUUUAUUUUAUUUAAAUGUGCGGUUGAAUUUUUAAUACAUAAAUUUUUGGAAGUACUUAGGUUCUAAGUAAAUCAAAAAUAUAUAAAUUUUAAAUAUAUCUAA